GGGGAUUUCAACAUCAUAUAUGAAGCCAGAGAUAAAAACAAUGACUGCAUAAACAGAAGGAUCAUGGGCCGAUUCAGACAUGCGAUUGACUCAGCUGAACUCAAAUAGAUCAAAUGCAAAAAUAGAUGAUACACUUGGAGCAAUGAGAGGGAAAGACCAACACUUGAGAGCUCUCUUCCCCUCAGUUUUCCUCAUGGCCUCCUCUUCCACCUGCUCUGA
This 219-nucleotide ribosomal RNA is filed under the name Triticum aestivum (bread wheat). Its description in RNAcentral is "partial small subunit ribosomal RNA". The record is from RNAcentral. Lineage: Eukaryota; Viridiplantae; Streptophyta; Magnoliopsida; Poales; Poaceae.